GACGAACGCUGGCGGCGUGCUUAACACAUGCAAGUCGAACGAAAAGAGGGAAAGAGCUUGCUCUUUCCGGAAUUGAGUGGCAAACGGGUGAGUAACGUAAACAACCUGCCUUCAGGAUGGGGACAACAGACGGAAACGACUGCUAAUACCGAAUAAGUUCCAAGAGCCGCAUGGCCCAUGGAAGAAAAGGUGGCCUCUACCUGUAAGCUAUCGCCUGAAGAGGGGUUUGCGUCUGAUUAGCUGGUUGGAGGGGUAACGGCCCACCAAGGCGACGAUCAGUAGCCGGUCUGAGAGGAUGAACGGCCACACUGGAACUGAGACACGGUCCAGACUCCUACGGGAGGCAGCAGGGGGGAAUCUUCCGCAAUGGGCGAAAGCCUGACGGAGCAACGCCGCGUGAGUGAUGACGGCCUUCGGGUUGUAAAACUCUGUGAUCCGGGACGAAAAGGCAGAGUGCGAAGAACAAACUGCAUUGACGGUACCGGAAAAGCAAGCCACGGCUAACUACGUG
RNAcentral lists this ribosomal RNA (511 nucleotides) under uncultured bacterium. RNAcentral describes it as "partial 16S ribosomal RNA". It matches the Rfam family "Bacterial small subunit ribosomal RNA", at positions 28 to 507 of the family's 1533-position model. The record is from RNAcentral.